RNAcentral lists this non-coding RNA (31 nucleotides) under Homo sapiens (human). Lineage: Eukaryota; Metazoa; Chordata; Mammalia; Primates; Hominidae. The record is from RNAcentral.
CAGGGAGGCUUACAAAAUGGUAUAGGAUAUC